UACAGAGGGUGCAAGCGUUAAUCGGAAUUACUGGGCGUAAAGCGUGCGUAGACGGUUAUGUAAGUCAGAUGUGAAAGCCCCGGGCUCAACCUGGGAAUUGCAUUUGAGACUGCAUAGCUGGGGUGCGGAAGAGGGAAGCGGAAUUUCCGGUGUAGCGGUGAAAUGCGUAGAUAUCGGAAGGAACACCAGUGGCGAAAGCGGCUUCCUGGUCCAGCACCGACGUUCAGGCACGAAAGCGUGGGGAGCAAACAGG
RNAcentral lists this ribosomal RNA (253 nucleotides) under uncultured bacterium. Its description in RNAcentral is "partial 16S ribosomal RNA". It matches the Rfam family "Bacterial small subunit ribosomal RNA", at positions 524 to 776 of the family's 1533-position model. The record is from RNAcentral.